Molecule: long non-coding RNA, 6852 nt
Organism: Canis lupus familiaris (dog)
Lineage: Eukaryota; Metazoa; Chordata; Mammalia; Carnivora; Canidae
Exons: 2
Source: RefSeq, a predicted model, not a curated record
UGAAUGACUCCUCCCCACCCGGCCCCCCUUGUAUCUUGAAUCAUUGAAGCAAUGUAACUUGAUCUGGAGAAACCUUAGGAACUUCAGUGGUGUCCGCGAUUUCUGUCUCCUAGGAUUAAUGGAAGGUGCUGCCAUCAUCUCUGUAGCAAAGGUGUCGGAAGCAAGCAAGCGUGACUCCCUGCAGACCAGAAUUGGGGGCCUGGCAGGGGCGCUCAGAACCGCUCACAGCCCGUUGCCAGUAAGUCCACUUGCAUUUUAUGUUCUGAAAGACUGGUCUCACACUUGGAACUAAAUACAGCCUGGGGAAGAUGGGUGCUAAGCGCUCUAAUGAGCAGAGGAUCCCUAAUGUGACUGCCCAGCACGGAUCAUCGGGUCAAAUGACCAGCACAACCACCCUUUGUGCUGACCAGGGUUUUUUAAAGUAAUCUCUAAACCCAAGGUGGGGCUUGAACUUGCAACCCUGAGACCAAGAGCCACAUGUUCUACCGACUGAGCCAGCCGGGCUCCCCACAACUGCUGGCAGGUUUUCUAUCCUUGAAACGUGGGAGAUGAAAUUCAAACAUUUGAUAACGCUUUAGUCUCCAACAGAGCUUCCCAGGGCUCGGAGCCCCAUUCUAUGCUCUGCCUAUAAACUUCUAAAAUGGAAAAGAAUUUUGUUCUUAAAAAUAAGAGUCGGGAGAGGUAGGGUUCUCAGGUGAUGGUGAGGACUUAGGGGCACAAACACUACAUUUGUUGACUUCAAAACCAGCAGCGGCAGAAACCGAUGCGGGGGCAAGGAGUGGUGGGAUGGACUCUACUGCCCCUGGAGUCUGGGCCUGCGGGAAGUGAGGCGCGGGGCUGGGGGACCCGCCUGGGUGCGGGUGGAUACACCUGCCCGGAGGGGGGCGCCGGGGGCCCUCACUCGGCCUCCUUCUUCUCCUCCGGGACCUCUACCGACAGGAUCUGUUCACUGGGAUCCGGGCCCGGGCUCAUGCGGAUCAGCACCGAUGGCUCUGAGGGCCCGGCCUCCCCCUCCCCGCCUUCCUCGGGCCUCUCCGAGGCAGGUGGCGAGGCAGGUGGCGAGGCAGGUGGCGAAGAGCGUGUGGCCGGGGGCUCCUGGGAUUCUGGGUGCUCGGGCGCUGGGGGCUGGUCCUGGUCUGGGGCCGCCUGUCCUGCCUCUCCUGCAGCAUCCUGCGAGCUCUUGGCCUAAAAUCCAGAAAGGGUGAUUGGUAAGGCAAAGAAGGUCUGAGAGUUCUUUGAGGGGUCCUGGAGGAGUCUUGAACAGCUUCCUGCUCCCCUUCUUGGACCCCCAAAAAGGAGGAUGGCAGAGUGCACAGGGGUGCCAUCUAAUGUAUGGGAAGUGGGGGGCCAGAGGGCAUCAGGAUUAUUUGGUAGGAACAGAGUAUGUUAUGGGGAAGUUUAGGGAUUAAAAAUCCUGGUUGGAUCUAGUAGAAGGUCUUGGGGAUAUUUUCCAUCUCUGUUGAUGGGCAGGGCCAGAAGCCAGAGUGAGGCUGUGGGUUCAGGCCUGCCCCUGAGCUAUGGAGGAAGGAGGGGUGUGACCCGGAGGGAGCACCAGCAGGGACUUUGCAAAGCUGAGCCAACUGCCCUGUCCACCCCAGUUACCAGGGCUGGGUGCUCCUGGAUGGAUGAGAACAAUUCUAAGCAAACAAGGUAAAAAGGCUGAGAGGGUAAAAGCUGCUGUGGCCCGGCCUCCUUUCUGGAAGGUCUCAUAGGUCGAGCCUGCCACCCGCACACUCUUAUUCCCCAGGAAGGAGGAUGGGCAGGGUAGUACUGGCAUUAGGCUGGGCUGAGCCCCCAUGUUUGGGGACUUGGUGGGGACUUCCAGCCUCUAGCCUUCGUGGUUCCUGUGGACACUGACCAGUCUGUGUGUCAGUAAAAACCCAAGCCUUCAAAGAUACUCAUGGCCUGUCCUGCCCUGUCUGACCCACUUCUGUGGAGACAUAAAGGGGACAGAGGGGUUCCCCGGAGGAGACCUGAAUGGCCCACAGCGAUCUAAGACCCUCUUAAGGUAGCAGCAGUGAAUUUCAAAUGAGAGCAGUCAGCAUGCUUGUGAGGAAGAAGCUUGCUCAAAUCAUAGAGUGUUGAAGGAAGGGAAAUGGGGAAGCCCACUCCUAGAACCCAAGGCAACUCUGGGGACCCAUCCCUCCCCCCAUCUUGGAGUUCCUGCAUGUUCCACCAUCCCGUGUCUGUCCUAAACUCCGACGACGACGACGACGACGACACACUCCAAGGCAGGAUGGUGCCCAUUAUGGGACUUCUGGAAGUAUCCUGCUAUGAAUGGAACCAGAAGAAUCAUGGGGAGUUUAGUCAGGUGUUUUGCCAUGCCAAAAUGCUUUUAAAAAGAUAUCCAAGGUACCCUGCUUCAUCUCUACAACCCUACGCUGGAACCAUGAGUAACCUGAGUCUCAGAAAGCAUGAAGAGCUUCUCCGGGUCACAGAGCUGGCAGUGACAGAGCUGGGAUUUAGACCCGUGUCUUUGGAUUGUUAUUUCAGAACUCCUUGCACUCGGCAUUCUGUCCUGAUUGUUCUAAAAUUGCCUUUUAUUAGAAUUCUCAUGCAAAUUUAAUUCACAUCUCCAAGCUGCCUGGGUGAAGAGCUAAUACUCAGGAGCAAAAGACCCAUUUCAUAUAAAAGCCUUUCACUGUAUUGAGAACAGUCUUGGAGUUCAUGUCUGCUCAGUCCCAUGCAGCAGCUGGCACCAAAGACCUCAACUUCCUGGCUCAACCUUGACCCUGGCUCUGGGUAAGCCAGGCAGUCAUGUCUGUCCUCAGUCUGGGGCCAUGGGUGGCUGUAUCUUGAGAAUAUCUUGGAACCCUGGGUGGCUUUGAUGGCACCUCCCAGACUCCAGAUGUCAAAUGAUCUCCUGACAGGUUCCCUGGACUCCGACACCAGCCUGGCUUGUUCCAACCUAGGUUCCUUUGAAUUCUGUUGUGUAGACUGCAGCACCCUCCUGGCCACUGAGCUCCUGCCUACCCACCACCCCCCUUCCCAGCAGCCUCCCUAAAGGACAAUCGUGAAUAGUCAUAAUUAGUGCAAUCAUUCUAAUUGGCAUUUUUGGCAUUAGUCACAGAAAAGAGUCCCAGAACUAAUUUUAAAAUUCCCUUCAGAUUUCCAAGGGGGGGGGGGGGGGGACAGUCAGCACUGUGCCUGUCAGCAGGGUUUUUUCUCUUUAAAUCUCUGAAAUUGUCACAGAUGCAAAUAUUAAAUAUGAGACAAUCACUGCCAUCUGGGGAGGGACACUGCCCGCUCACACCCAGUGCUCCUACCUUUGCAACAGCACCAGGACUCCCUUGGGGGGAUUGCUCCCCUCGGCCCAGGGAUGGCACAGGAGCCUGGCCUCUCCCAGGGCAGCACAGUGAACGGCUCAGGAAUUGACAUGUGACCCAAAUCUGUCCAAUGACAAUGAGCCCUGGGACUUUUGCUGGAAUCACUGGGCAAGAGGGACUUUCUAUGGGAGUUGCUGCUAAACCAGGAGGAUGUAAUCCUAGUGCUCUUGUGAUCUGAAGUCAUCAUCGAGGGAAGCAGAAAUGACAAGAUGGCAAAGCUCAUCCCAUUGGCAUUAUUUGAACUUCUGGAUCCAGCCUUGUCUGAACUUUUAAGCUACUUGACCCCAUCCAUCCCCUGGUCUCUUAAGCUAAUGUGAGCUUGCACCAUGACCUGGAUUUCUGUUACUUGCAACCAAAGGAGUCCUGACUGGUAUAAAGGAAGGGGAGACAUUCCCUACAGUGCAAGGCAUGGUCCACAAUCUGGCACAAUGUUGAAAUGGGGGUGUGGCUAAUUCCCCACCAUCUUACCUGUUCCAGCAACUGUUGCUGCCUCGCAGCUGCCUCCAGUGCAGCCAGUUCUUUGAGCCGAGCCCUCAGGUGGGCAAGUUUACCGGCUUUGGCUCCCUUGGCGCCCAUCUUUCCUGCUACGGCCAGGGCAGCAUUGAAGAGCUUGGGGGUGCCUGCCCGGGGAGGAAGGAUGAGCACGCUCUUCGGCUCCUUGGGCUUGUUGUUAUUUCUCAGCAUGCGCCUGAAAGAAAGCAGCACCCACAAACAUUACAAACAUACUCCAGAAGAGAAGAAAGGCUCCUCGGCGGAGGACUAUGAUAGAGUUGCACGGUGGCGGUGGUCGUCUUGGCUAAUGGUCUGUGAGCAAACACAGCGUACUUAACGCUUUAUGCACAGCAUCUCAGUGAUCGGAACAACCAGAAUGACAUGGGUCUUACCGUCUGGACCUUACAGAGGAGGAAAUUGGAGGCUCAGAGAGGUUGAGUCACUUUAGUGAAGUCACACAGGAAAUACCGAAUGAUACUAUAAUAUAUGGACUCAGAAACAGGAUGCCCAGGUGAAAAAAGAUACGCUUUUUGCUUCUCUCCCUUUUGCAUAUGUCACCAUCCUCACCAUUACCUCCGUCAACAUGUAAUGAGUGUCUACAUGUGUCAGGCCCUAUGCUUGGUCCUUUAGAGGCACCCUGAUGGCUCCUGGAGACCUCCUUUCUGGUGUCUCUUUCUCCAUGUGACUUGUUUUUGACCAGUAGAAUACAGCAAGGGUGAUCAGAUAUCCCCUUUGUGAACAUGUCACAUGGGAUUGUGAUCUCUGUCUUGCAAGGACUCUCCCUUCCUGGCUUUGAUGCAGCCAGUGACCAUGUUGAGGGAGGCCCAUGUGGCGAGAACCAAGGGAAGCCACCGGCCAGCAAUUAGCUGGGAACGGAGGCCCCCAGUCCUCCAACCGCAGGGAACUGAAUUUGGCUGACCUCCAUGUGACCUUGGAAGCAGACCCUUCCCCAGGGGAGACAUGAGAUGAGACUCAGCUCUGGCCAGUACCCACCUAAGCUGUCCCAGACUUCCGACCCAUAGAAGCUGUGAGACAUCCAGUUGAUUCACUGACACUGAAAUGAGGACCCACAAAAUCGCCAACAACGAUCACAAAAAUGUGAAAAAUGUGGUGCUAAAUAGACCAUGAAAAGACACUUGUUUACAAGUGUUCAGAUGCUUCUGAGCUGAAACAAUAAAGCAGAGUGUCACCUUGUUUAACUCUUGCUGGGGACAUGAGCUUAGGGCCCAACUCAAAUUUUUUACCGCUCUGUGCACGUCCACAAAUUACUAGGAAUGCCCACGAGUACUGAUUUUGGGGUUACAAAUACAUUUUAGUGAGUAGGUUAGUUACAGACACAGAAUCACAGCUACGUGAAUAAUGAGCACAGACUGUACUUCCCCGUUUCUCAGGUGAGUAGGGGGAAGCAGGCAGAUGUUGUGAGAAAAGUUCAGACAGACUAGCCUUUGGAAGGGCCCAGUGACUUCCUUAAGAGCAAACAGGUAAAAUGAGUUACAGGGCAGCUUCCUUCCUCAGAGGAUGCCAGCAUCCUGUGGGUAUUAUGCUUCACCAAUACAGCAUCACCCCCUCUUGGCGUUGCCAAAGGGGUCCUGUUAAAACUAAGUCCUGGAGCACCUGGGUGGCUCAGUGGUUGAGCGUCUGCCUUUGGCUCAGGUUGUGAUCCCAUGGUCCUGGGAUUGAGUCCUGCAUGGGGCUCCCCGCAGGGAGCCUGCUUCUCCCGCUGCCUGUGUCUCUGCCUCUCUCAUGAAUAAAUAAAUAAAAUCUUGUUUUAAAACAACAAGAACAAACCCCUAAGUCACAUCAAUUUGCUUGUCUGUGUAAAACCGUACAUAGCUGCCCUCUCCCUCAGAGUAAAACCCAAAGCCACUGUAAGACUUCAUCUCCAAGGCCCCACCCGAUCUCAUCCCCUGGACCUCUCCCCUCCCAUGUCAAGCUACACUUACUUUCUGGCUGGUCUGCACACACACACUCUCUCCUCUGCAGAGCCUUUCCAUGUGCUGUUGCCUCUGACUAGGAUGCUCUUCCAUGCAAGCAGUCCCAUCACUCUUUCAGUCUGUGCGGAUUUCAGCUAAAAUUCCACUUCCUCAGAAUGGCUUUCCCUGCCCAACUUAUCUCAGAUAACUCCCUCCAUCACCUCUGUCUCCUCAAUGUGGCUUUGUUUCCUCACAGCCCUGUCCCCAGCUGACACAUCACAGAAUCCUUCAUUUCUCCAUGGUCGGGCUCCCUCAUUAGGAGGCAAGCUUUAUUUGGUCCCUGCUGUGUCCCUAGGGCCUAGAACUAUGUACUCAAUCAAUGAUUGUGCACUCUGAGUUCCCUUUAUGGUGACUAUUCUCUGUACAGUUUAUUUAUGGUGUCAUUUCAUAGAAUGAGGUAGAAAAUGGGAAUAUGUGGUAAAAGGCAAUGGAGAGAAAAACAGGAUAUAUAGAUUUAAAAGGCUUUAUCCAAUGGCAAAAUUACAGAGAGUACUUGAUGGGUAAAGAGGAGCAAUUAUCAUUAUGAAUAUUCAUGGAGUUCUCCCACCUGCCGGGUACCCUGCUGGAGAUAUUCACACACACUUACUUUAUUUAAGCUUCCCAACAACAAAAUAGGGGGUUAAAACCCUUAUUUUACAUAAUUGCAGAAAAUGGAGACCAGAGAAGUUAACUUUUCUGUGACUUUUCCAAGGCCACACAGCCAGUACCUCAUACUACAGAUAGGGUGUGAGCUCCAUCAGCUUCCUGAGCCUGUUGUGGAUUUUCUACCACACUGUGUUGCCUCUUUCACUCGACUGGAAAUCUGAUCUUAAGGGUCUGAAAACAAAGACCUGCUUCUCUAAAAAGUUACCCACUCUUCAACAGUACAAAAUGCAGAUGCACAAGGUUAUUCCUCAGGGAGCUGCGUAUAAUGGCAAAAUACUGGAAAUGACCUUACUGCCCCUUCCCAGGAAUGCUCUGCAACUGUCAGAGGAAUGAGGGAGCUGUCUAUGGACUGAGAAAAAACAUCUUCUGGGUUGGUUGUCAUGUGAAAAAAAAAAAAAGCAAAGUGCAAAAGAAAA